This 253-nucleotide ribosomal RNA is filed under the name uncultured bacterium. RNAcentral describes it as "partial 16S ribosomal RNA". It matches the Rfam family "Bacterial small subunit ribosomal RNA", at positions 524 to 776 of the family's 1533-position model. The record is from RNAcentral.
GACAGAGGGUGCAAACGUUGUUCGGAAUUACUGGGCGUAAAGCGCGUGUAGGCUGCUCGGAAAGUCGGAUGUGAAAGCCCUGGGCUUAACCCGGGAAGUGCACUCGAUACUGUCGAGCUAGAGUAUCGGAGAGGUUGGUGGAAUUCUCGGUGUAGAGGUGAAAUUCGUAGAUAUCGAGAGGAACACCGGUGGCGAAGGCGGCCAACUGGACGAAUACUGACGCUGAGACUCGAAAGCGUGGGGAGCAAACAGG